AUUGAACGCUGGCGGCAUGCCUAACACAUGCAAGUCGAACGGCAGCACGGUUAAGUACUUGUACUUAAUGGGUGGCGAGUGGCGAACGGGUGAGUAAUGCGCAGGAAUAUGCCUUAAAGAGGGGGAUAACUUGGGGAACUCAAGCUAAUACCGCAUAAGCUCUGAGGAGUAAAGCUGGGGACCUUCGGGCCUGGCGCUUUAAGAAUAGCCUGCGUCCGAUUAGCUAGUUGGUAGGGUAAAGGCCUACCAAGGCGACGAUCGGUAGCUGGUCUGAGAGGAUGAACAGCCACACUGGGACUGAGACACGGCCCAGACUCCUACGGGAGGCAGCAGUGGGGAAUAUUGGACAAUGGGGGCAACCCUGAUCCAGCAAUGCCGCGUGUGUGAAGAAGGCCUGAGGGUUGUAAAGCACUUUCAGUGGGGAGGAGGAUUGAUUGGUUAAGAGCUGAUUAAUUGGACGUUACCUACAGAAGAAGCACCGGCUAACUCCGUGCCAGCAGCCGCCGCAG
RNAcentral lists this ribosomal RNA (509 nucleotides) under uncultured bacterium. Its description in RNAcentral is "partial 16S ribosomal RNA". It matches the Rfam family "Bacterial small subunit ribosomal RNA", at positions 30 to 523 of the family's 1533-position model. The record is from RNAcentral.